GCCUGGCUGGCUCAGUCGGUAGAGCAUGUGACUUUUCAUCUUGGGAUUGUGUGUUCGAGCCUCACGUUGGGUG
Molecule: transfer RNA, 73 nt
Filed under: Ailuropoda melanoleuca (giant panda)
Lineage: Eukaryota; Metazoa; Chordata; Mammalia; Carnivora; Ursidae
Rfam family: tRNA
About the family: Transfer RNA (tRNA) molecules are approximately 80 nucleotides in length. Their secondary structure includes four short double-helical elements and three loops (D, anti-codon, and T loops).
Source: Rfam by way of RNAcentral